CACAAAUACAUGUAUACAGAUACAUCGAUCUUCGACUAAAUUCCAUGCCAAACGCAUAUAUAAAGGUAUCUGCCGAUAGGAAAUCAAUAUAAGUGGAUCAGACGCAGACAAGGAACAGGACGGUAUUAAGAUGUUGCGGCUAAUUUGCCUAUUACCAUGCCUUGUAGCCUUGACAACGGGUCGAAUGAUAUAUAAUCCAUACAAUGUGCAAAGAGUGAUGAAUCCCUAUCAAAACAACUACGGGUAUAACCCACUGGCGAAUAUAGCUGGCAAUGUACACCAACUGGGACAUCAUAGGAACAACUUUCGGGGGAAUGGUCAAGAGAUAAGCAGUCAAUUUAUAAGCGACAUACAAGAAAGAAACGAACAGAUGAUCAGCGACUUACGAUCGAGGGAAGAACAGCGGAUGAGUGACUUAAGGUCACAACAAGAGCAGCUGAUAAGCGAUCUAGGUGGAUCUGAAUUGGAACCUCGGCUCACACAACAAUGGUGGUGAAUUGAUAAAUACUAAACAAGCGAUUUAUUCUUCAAUACAAAGUAGUCCAAUCGUAUUCUUUAUGCAGAUUUUUCUCAAAUACCUUUUACUUAGUAAAUGAUAUAUUAAUUAUAAUAUAAUUGCAAUUAUAAACUGAA
This 633-nucleotide unclassified non-coding RNA is filed under the name Mizuhopecten yessoensis (Yesso scallop). RNAcentral's name for it is "uncharacterized LOC110445524, transcript variant X4". Lineage: Eukaryota; Metazoa; Mollusca; Bivalvia; Pectinida; Pectinidae. The record is from RNAcentral.